GAGGGUGGACAGGUGGGUUGGCAUGGUUGUCGUCAGCUCGUGUCGUGAGAUGUUGGUUAAGUCCGCAACGAGCGCAACCCUCGACCUUAGUUGCCAGCAUUCAGUUGGGCACUCUAAGGUGACUGCCGGCUAAAAGUCGGAGGAAGGUGGGGAUGACGUCAAAUCAUCAUGCCCCUUAUGACCUGGGCUACACACGUGCUACAAUGGGCGGUACAAAGGGUCGCGAACCCGCGAGGGGGAGCCAAUCCCAAAAAGCCGCUCUCAGUUCGGAUUGCAGGCUGCAACUCGCCUGCAUGAAGCCGGAAUCGCUAGUAAUCGCGGAUCAGCAUGCCGCGGUGAAUACGUUCCCGGGCCUU
RNAcentral lists this ribosomal RNA (356 nucleotides) under uncultured Anoxybacillus sp. RNAcentral describes it as "bacterial SSU rRNA". It matches the Rfam family "Bacterial small subunit ribosomal RNA", at positions 1026 to 1382 of the family's 1533-position model. The record is from RNAcentral. Lineage: Bacteria; Bacillati; Bacillota; Bacilli; Caryophanales; Anoxybacillaceae.